UCUUGGCGUCAGUCUUUUAAAACCGCUCGCGCACUCUGGUACCGUUGGUUUAGUUAAAACACACGGCACUGCUCCACUUAUCCGAGCACUGCAGCCGACACUUUCUAUUUGUUUAACUGUUCUAAGGGGGAAAAAAAAGCGAUAUUAAAGUUUUCGAAUACGGAUUGCAGAGCUUGAGCCCCAGCUGAAUUAUAGAUAAACGUAAAUAGAAGGAUCCUGUUUUCCCGCUGUCAUCCCAGUGGACCAGCUCGAGUCCUCCCCUGGGUCCCAGAGCCUCACUUGGGCGCAGGCAGUUGUGCGGGUAACCCCUGGAGAUGGGUUGCCUGGAGUCGCGUCCUGUCCCUGAAAGCUCAAGUGCUGGUGCACACCUCCAGGCAACAAUUCCCAGCCUUGUAAGCAGAUAACUGGGGCUGCAGGACUCGUUCCAACAGGUGAUUGUGCACAGAAGUAAUGGACACACAUCUUGGCCUGCCUUCCUGUUUCUUGGUCUGCACAGCUGGAAUUGGUAGUGGAACCAGAAGAAGGUUUCAGAACCUUUUUCAGCACCACUUGGA
This is a long non-coding RNA of Urocitellus parryii (Arctic ground squirrel), 554 nucleotides long. RefSeq lists it as uncharacterized. Lineage: Eukaryota; Metazoa; Chordata; Mammalia; Rodentia; Sciuridae. The record is from RefSeq and is a predicted model, not a curated record.